GAUUCACCAUCACUGAUCUAGAUCAUAGUCCAAGAAAAGAAAUAGCUUUAGAAAACAGAGCUUGAUUCUGAAUACAACACCGGGGAACCUUGUACUUUACCAGCCUUUUGUUUUCCUACUAGAGACACUUGACUUUGUCUCCAUCCCAAGAGAUCUCCUUCCAGCACCACCAUCUGUCCAGAAGGGGGACUAUACUAUUAAUGCCACAGUUCCUGGCUGAAGAACACUCCUUUCUUUCUCUUUAGUUGGUUUUGUUUAGAUUUUGUUCUUUCCUCACUUUUUUCCCCAGCUCAAAGAUUCUGGCACUUCCAAGCCUAUUACGUUCUUACAUUUGGCAGAAGUGUGGGGAAGGAAUAACAAAGUGGAGGAAUUCCAUGGAGACUGGAACAACCUCCAGGAAGUGAUGCAGAGUGAGAGGAGCAGAACCAGGAGAACAUUGUACACAGAGACUGAUACACUGUGGCACAAUCAAAUGUAAUGGACUUCUCCAUUAGUGGCAAUGCAAUGAUCCAGGACAAUUCUGAGGGACUUAUGAGAAAGAACACUAUCCACAUUCAGAGGAAGAACUUUGGGAGUAGAAACAGAAUAACAACUGCUUGAUUACAUGGGUUGAGAGGAUAUGGUUGGGGAUGUGGACUCUAAAUGAUCACCCUAAUUCAAACAUCAACAACAGGGAAAUACAUUCUGAUCAAGGACACAUGUAAUACUCAGUGGAAUUGCACGUGGGCUACAGGAAGGGUGGGGGUAGGGGAGGGAGGGAAAGAAUAUGAUUCUUGUAACCAAGGAAUAAUGUUCUAAAUUGGCUAAAUAAAUUAAUU
Monodelphis domestica (gray short-tailed opossum) is the source of this 818-nucleotide non-coding RNA. The record is from RefSeq and is a predicted model, not a curated record. Lineage: Eukaryota; Metazoa; Chordata; Mammalia; Didelphimorphia; Didelphidae.